This is a non-coding RNA of Parasteatoda tepidariorum (common house spider), 617 nucleotides long. Lineage: Eukaryota; Metazoa; Arthropoda; Arachnida; Araneae; Theridiidae. The record is from RefSeq and is a predicted model, not a curated record.
AAAAAAAAAAAAAAAAAAAAAAAAAAAAAAAAAAAAGAAAGAAUUUAUUUUAAAAUAAUAUUUACCUUACGCUUCUGUUCUGGUAUUUAAGUUUAAAAUAUACACUAGAUGGCAGCACAUAACCCUUCAAUGCCAUUUGCACCUGGCAUCUGCUGUGGAGAGAAAGAAAUAAAAAAGAUUGAUUUAAACAGCGUUAGGCAUUUGAGAAAAGAACAGGAAGAUAUGCGUUCAAUAUUCCAUCCGUAUUUGAUAAAUCAAAAGAUCCUUUAAUGAUGCUCAAGAUCUUAAAAUGAAGAUCAUUCGAUUUAUCAGACCCUGGGCUGGUAUAUCAAUGAAAGUCAUCAGUGAAAAAAUGCGAACUCAGAGCCGCUGUGACUAAGGAGGCUAAGUGGAUAGAUUUGCCUCUCAAUGAGAUGAUUCAGGUUCGAAUCCCAGUGGUGGCUGGUUGGUACGAAUUCUGCUUCCUUCUCCUACCGACCACAGUGUGACGUAAAAUAUCGUCUUUGCUCGACGGAUCAUGAGACAAAAUCCCCUUGCCGUCGGGCUGACCUUGGUUUUUGUGGUAUACCUCUCCAUGUAAAGCAAAUGCUGGUUAGUUUUAUUAAAAUAUUCUGAAC